Molecule: long non-coding RNA, 380 nt
Filed under: Olea europaea (common olive)
Lineage: Eukaryota; Viridiplantae; Streptophyta; Magnoliopsida; Lamiales; Oleaceae
Description: long non-coding RNA (OEUR_LNC014990)
Source: RNAcentral
UCUUGAUAGAAAUUACCACAAUUUGCAACCAUGCAAGAACUCAUCACUAGAGUAAUACCCAAGAACAAUGCUGAAAACCCUUCAAAGAAAGAAGCCAUUGUAUUUGAAAUUUGAAAGAAAGAGGCUGUAAUGUUAUUUUGUGUGUCGUGAAUUUGAAAGAGGUGUACUAUAUAUAGGGGCCCUGGUUGGGGGGGACCGGGGUGGGGUGUUUUUAAGAAGAGAUGGAAAUGCUUGUGAAGAAAUGGGUGUGGGAGCUGGUGCCAGCUUGGAGCAAUGAAAGCUGGAUGGUUUUUGUUUGGACCUUUAAGUGGGUUUUUAAGUAUUUUUGUUUUGUUUUUUCCAGCAAUGAUUCGGUUCUCCCCAGAAAUAGGGUAGCAUGG